UGAGCAUCUUUGUCGGGGCAUUGUUCA
This 27-nucleotide non-coding RNA is filed under the name Homo sapiens (human). Lineage: Eukaryota; Metazoa; Chordata; Mammalia; Primates; Hominidae. The record is from RNAcentral.